AUACGUAGGGUGCGAGCGUUGUCCGGAAUUACUGGGCGUAAAGAGCUCGUAGGUGGUUUGUCGCGUCGUCUGUGAAAUUCCGGGGCUUAACUCCGGGCGUGCAGGCGAUACGGGCAUAACUUGAGUACUGUAGGGGAGACUGGAAUUCCUGGUGUAGCGGUGAAAUGCGCAGAUAUCAGGAGGAACACCGGUGGCGAAGGCGGGUCUCUGGGCAGUAACUGACGCUGAGGAGCGAAAGCAUGGGUAGCGAACAGGAUUAGAUACCCUGGUAGUCCAUGCCGUAAACGGUGGGCGCUAGGUGUAGGGGUCUUCCACGACUUCUGUGCCGUAGCUAACGCAUUAAGCGCCCCGCCUGGGGAGUACGGCCGCAAGGUUGAAACUCAAAGGAAUUGGCGGGG
This 398-nucleotide ribosomal RNA is filed under the name uncultured bacterium. Its description in RNAcentral is "partial 16S ribosomal RNA". It matches the Rfam family "Bacterial small subunit ribosomal RNA", at positions 523 to 918 of the family's 1533-position model. The record is from RNAcentral.